UACGAGGGGUGCAAGCGUUAUUCGGAAUUAUUGGGCGUAAAGGGUGCGUAGGCGGCACAUUAAGUCAACUGUUAAAUUCCUCGGCCUAACCGAGGGUCUGCGGUAGAUACUGAUGUGCUAGAGGGUGGAAGAGAGAAGUGGAAUUCUCGGAGUAGCGGUAAAAUGCGUAGAUCUCGAGAGGAACACCAAUGGCGAAGGCAGCUUCUUGGUCCAUACCUGACGCUGAGGCACGAAAGCGUGGGGAGCAAACAGG
This 253-nucleotide ribosomal RNA is filed under the name uncultured bacterium. RNAcentral describes it as "partial 16S ribosomal RNA". It matches the Rfam family "Bacterial small subunit ribosomal RNA", at positions 524 to 776 of the family's 1533-position model. The record is from RNAcentral.